UUGGUUUCACCCGAAGACGGUGCGCUAACCGCAAGGAGGCAGCCGGCCACGGUAGGGUCAGCGACUGGGGUGAAGUCGUAACAAGGUAGCAGUAGGUGAACCUGCAGAAGGAUCA
This 115-nucleotide ribosomal RNA is filed under the name uncultured eukaryote. RNAcentral's name for it is "partial small subunit ribosomal RNA". It matches the Rfam family "Bacterial small subunit ribosomal RNA", at positions 1411 to 1525 of the family's 1533-position model. The record is from RNAcentral.